This 253-nucleotide ribosomal RNA is filed under the name uncultured bacterium. RNAcentral describes it as "partial 16S ribosomal RNA". It matches the Rfam family "Bacterial small subunit ribosomal RNA", at positions 524 to 776 of the family's 1533-position model. The record is from RNAcentral.
UACAGAGGUCUCGAGCGUUAGGCGGAAUCACUGGGCUUAAAGCGUGUGUAGGCGGAUCGGUAAGUACCUUGUGAAAUCCCACAGCUUAACUGUGGAACUGCUUGGUAUACUGCUUAUCUUGGGCCAUCUAGGGGCGAGCGGAACAAACGGUGGAGCGGUGAAAUGCGUAGAUAUCGUUUGGAACGCCAAUGGUGAAAACAGCUCGCUGGGGAUGUGCCGACGCUGAGACACGAAAGCCAGGGGAGCGAACGGG